AGCAGUGGGGAAUUUUGGACAAUGGGCGCAAGCCUGAUCCAGCAAUGCCGCGUGAGUGAAGAAGGCCUUCGGGUUGUAAAGCUCUUUUGUCAGGGAAGAAACGGUGAGAGCUAAUAUCUCUUGCUAAUGACGGUACCUGAAGAAUAAGCACCGGCUAACUACGUGCCAGCAGCCGCGGUAAUACGUAGGGUGCAAGCGUUAAUCGGAAUUACUGGGCGUAAAGCGUGCGCAGGCGGUUUUGUAAGUUUGUCGUGAAAGCCCCGGGCUCAACCUGGGAAUUGCGAUGAAGACUGCAAGGCUUGAAUCUGGCAGAGGGGGGGUAGAAUUCCACGUGUAGCAGUGAAAUGCGUAGAGAUGUGGAGGAACACCGAUGGGCGAAGGCAGCCCCCUGGGUCAAGAUUGACGCUCAUG
RNAcentral lists this ribosomal RNA (411 nucleotides) under uncultured bacterium. RNAcentral's name for it is "bacterial SSU rRNA". It matches the Rfam family "Bacterial small subunit ribosomal RNA", at positions 350 to 751 of the family's 1533-position model. The record is from RNAcentral.